RNAcentral lists this ribosomal RNA (253 nucleotides) under uncultured bacterium. RNAcentral's name for it is "partial 16S ribosomal RNA". It matches the Rfam family "Bacterial small subunit ribosomal RNA", at positions 524 to 776 of the family's 1533-position model. The record is from RNAcentral.
UACGUAGGUGGCAAGCGUUAUCCGGAAUUAUUGGGCGUAAAGAGCGCGCAGGUGGUUAAUUAAGUCUGAUGUGAAAGCCCACGGCUUAACCGUGGAGGGUCAUUGGAAACUGGUUGACUUGAGUGCAGAAGAGGGAAGUGGAAUUCCAUGUGUAGCGGUGAAAUGUGUAGAGAUAUGGAGGAACACCAGUGGCGAAGGCGGCUUCCUGGUCUGCAACUGACACUGAGGCGCGAAAGCGUGGGGAGCAAACAGG